AACCUACCUAUAAGACUGGGAUAACUUCGGGAAACCGGAGCUAAUACCGGAUAAUAUUUUGAACCGCAUGGUUCAAAAGUGAAAGACGGUCUUGCUGUCACUUAUAGAUGGAUCCGCGCUGCAUUAGCUAGUUGGUAAGGUAACGGCUUACCAAGGCAACGAUGCAUAGCCGACCUGAGAGGGUGAUCGGCCACACUGGAACUGAGACACGGUCCAGACUCCUACGGGAGGCAGCAGUAGGGAAUCUUCCGCAAUGGGCGAAAGCCUGACGGAGCAACGCCGCGUGAGUGAUGAAGGUCUUCGGAUCGUAAAACUCUGUUAUUAGGGAAGAACAUAUGUGUAAGUAACUGUGCACAUCUUGACGGUACCUAAUCAGAAAGCCACGGCUAACUACGUGCCAGCAGCCGCGGUAAUACGUAGGUGGCAAGCGUUAUCCGGAAUUAUUGGGCGUAAAGCGCGCGUAGGCGGUUUUUUAAGUCUGAUGUGAAAGCCCACGGCUCAACCGUGGAGGGUCAUUGGAAACUGGAAAACUUGAGUGCAGAAGAGGAAAGUGGAAUUCCAUGUGUAGCGGUGAAAUGCGCAGAGAUAUGGAGGAACACCAGUGGCGAAGGCGACUUUCUGGUCUGUAACUGACGCUGAUGUGCGAAAGCGUGGGGAUCAAACAGGAUUAGAUACCCUGGUAGUCCACGCCGUAAACGAUGAGUGCUAAGUGUUAGGGGGUUUCCGCCCCUUAGUGCUGCAGCUAACGCAUUAAGCACUCCGCCUGGGGAGUACGACCGCAA
This 782-nucleotide ribosomal RNA is filed under the name Staphylococcus aureus. Its description in RNAcentral is "bacterial SSU rRNA". It matches the Rfam family "Bacterial small subunit ribosomal RNA", at positions 123 to 891 of the family's 1533-position model. The record is from RNAcentral. Lineage: Bacteria; Bacillati; Bacillota; Bacilli; Caryophanales; Staphylococcaceae.